Molecule: ribosomal RNA, 587 nt
Filed under: uncultured bacterium
Lineage: Bacteria
Description: bacterial SSU rRNA
Rfam family: Bacterial small subunit ribosomal RNA
Source: RNAcentral
UCCUACGGGAGGCAGCAGUGGGGAAUAUUGGACAAUGGGCGCAAGCCUGAUCCAGCCAUACCGCGUGUGUGAAGAAGGCCUUCGGGUUGUAAAGCACUUUAAGUAAGGAAGAAAAGUAUAUUGUUAAUACCAAUGUACCGUGACAUUACUUACAGAAUAAGGACCGGCUAAUUCCGUGCCAGCAGCCGCGGUAAUACGGAAGGUCCAAGCGUUAAUCGGAAUUACUGGGCGUAAAGCGCGCGUAGGUGGUUUAUUAAGUUGGGUGUGAAAGCCCCGGGCUCAACCUGGGAACUGCAUCCAAAACUGAUUCACUAGAGUACGAAAGAGGGAGGUAGAAUUCACAGUGUAGCGGUGGAAUGCGUAGAUAUUGUGAAGAAUACCAAUGGCGAAGGCAGCCUCCUGGUUCUGUACUGACACUGAGGUGCGAAAGCGUGGGUAGCGAACAGGAUUAGAUACCCUGGUAGUCCACGCCGUAAACGAUGAAUGCCAGUCGUCGGAUAGUAUACUAUUCGGUGACACACCUAACGGAUUAAGCAUUCCGCCUGGGGAGUACGGCCGCAAGGCUGAAACUCAAAUGAAUUGACGGA